RNAcentral lists this ribosomal RNA (253 nucleotides) under uncultured bacterium. Its description in RNAcentral is "partial 16S ribosomal RNA". It matches the Rfam family "Bacterial small subunit ribosomal RNA", at positions 524 to 776 of the family's 1533-position model. The record is from RNAcentral.
UACGUAGGGCGCAAGCGUUGUCCGGAUUUAUUGGGCGUAAAGAGCGUGUAGGCGGCCACACAGGUCUGCUGUGAAAACUCGAGGCUCAACCUCGAGCUGUCGGUGGAAACCGUGUGGCUAGAGUCCGGAAGAGGAGAGUGGAAUUCCCGGUGUAGCGGUGAAAUGCGUAGAUAUCGAGAGGAACACCAGUGGCGAAGGCGAGUCCCUGGACACUUCCUGACACUGAGGCACGAAAGCUAGGGGAGCAAACGGG